This 472-nucleotide unclassified non-coding RNA is filed under the name uncultured fungus. RNAcentral's name for it is "partial contains small subunit ribosomal RNA, internal transcribed spacer 1, and 5.8S ribosomal RNA". The stretch from base 1 to 73 matches the Rfam family "Eukaryotic small subunit ribosomal RNA", at positions 1759 to 1831 of the family's 1831-position model. Lineage: Eukaryota; Fungi. The record is from RNAcentral.
UCAAACUUGGUCAUUUAGAGGAAGUAAAAGUCGUAACAAGGUUUCCGUAGGUGAACCUGCGGAAGGAUCAUUACAAAUCAAAAAGAUUCUCCAUGAAGUCCAUGCGGCGAGGCAGGAGGAUGCCAGUGCGCCAUCGCCAAAUUGUUGGUGGUGGUGAUAGGGAGAGGCACUGGUGGCUCGCUUCAUGAAAGCAUGUGUCAUCGCUGCUGCUACUGCCCUGUGCGGUAGCGUAGUGGUGUCACAUCUCAUUGUUAAAUCCCUUCAUGCUGACUGACUGACUGACUGACGCAUGAAUGGCCACUGUGAUCGUGCAUGCAGGGAGGAGAUGAUGGGACUCGAACCAUCAUUACUGCGCCGAUUUAGUGUCAUUGUGCGUCGUCGUUGUCGUCGUCGUAGCAAUAUCUCAAUGAUAACGAGAUGACAGCCUUUUAACAACGGAUCUCUCGGCUCUUACAUCGAUGAAGAACGCAGC